Molecule: non-coding RNA, 45 nt
Organism: Schistosoma mansoni
Lineage: Eukaryota; Metazoa; Platyhelminthes; Trematoda; Strigeidida; Schistosomatidae
Source: Rfam
AUUCAGCUGACAAGUCCCCAAUAGGACGAAACGCGCAUCCUAGAU